UAAAUCAGUUAUCGUUUAUUUGAUAGUACCUUACUACUUGGAUAACCGUGGUAAUUCUAGAGCUAAUACAUGCUGAAAACCCCGACUUCGGGAGGGGUGUAUUUAUUAGAUAAAAAACCAACGCCCUUCGGGGCUUCUUGGUGAUUCAUGAUAACUUAACGAAUCGCAUGGCCUUGCGCCGGCGAUGGUUCAUUCAAAUUUCUGCCCUAUCAACUUUCGAUGGUAGGAUAGUGGCCUACCAUGGUAUCAACGGGUAACGGGGAAUUAGGGUUCUAUUCCGGAGAGGGAGCCUGAGAAACGGCUACCACAUCCAAGGAAGGCAGCAGGCGCGCAAAUUACCCAAUCCCGACACGGGGAGGUAGUGACAAUAAAUACUGAUACAGGGCUCUUUUGGGUCUUGUAAUUGGAAUGAGUACAAUUUAAAUCCCUUAACGAGGAACAAUUGGAGGGCAAGUCUGGUGCCAGCAGCCGCGGUAAUUCCAGCUCCAAUAGCGUAUAUUAAAGUUGUUGCAGUUAAAAAGCUCGUAGUUGAACCUUGGGCCUGGCUGGCCGGUCCGCCUCACCGCGUGCACUGGUCCGGCCGGGCCUUUCCUUCUGGGGAGCCGCAUGCCCUUCACUGGGUGUGUCGGGGAACCAGGACUUUUACUUUGAAAAAAUUAGAGUGUUCAAAGCAGGCCUUUGCUCGGAUACAUUAGCAUGGAAUAAUAGAAUAGGACGUGCGGUCCUAUUUUGUUGGUUUCUAGGACCGCCGUAAUGAUUAAUAGGGAUAGUCGGGGGCAUCAGUAUUCAAUUGUCAGAGGUGAAAUUCUUGGAUUUAUUGAAGACUAACUACUGCGAAAGCAUUUGCCAAGGAUGUUUUCAUUAAUCAGUGAACGAAAGUUAGGGGAUCGAAGACGAUCAGAUACCGUCGUAGUCUUAACCGUAAACUAUGCCGACUAGGGAUCGGGCGAUGUUAUCAUUUUGACUCGCUCGGCACCUUACGAGAAAUCAAAGUCU
Molecule: ribosomal RNA, 996 nt
Filed under: Cenococcum geophilum
Lineage: Eukaryota; Fungi; Ascomycota; Dothideomycetes; Gloniales; Gloniaceae
Description: SSU rRNA
Rfam family: Eukaryotic small subunit ribosomal RNA
Source: RNAcentral